RNA transcript from Spinacia oleracea (spinach), 3635 nucleotides. RefSeq lists it as uncharacterized. The record is from RefSeq and is a predicted model, not a curated record. The transcript is spliced from 9 exons. Lineage: Eukaryota; Viridiplantae; Streptophyta; Magnoliopsida; Caryophyllales; Amaranthaceae.
UGUGCUUGUGCCCAAGCGGUCAAACCCAACUCUCUAUCAUUUGAAUUUACACCCUCUCUUUCCAGGAAACAAAAAUUGUCAAAUUGGAUUUCUUAUUAAUUCUUCACUAGUUAGCGCCCAAUUCCUCCCAUCUUCGCCGCUUGCCGGCCGCCGCUGGGUGCCUCUUUCAAACGCCAAGUGGUGCUGAGAGUAACAAUGUGGGGUUUUGGCUCGAAAUUUGGAACAUGAUGACAAUGAAACUAACAAGCUAAAGCAUAUUGGUAGAUUGUAGACAAUUAUAGUAAAUUAUCCUGCGGCUAUCUUUGGACAUGAGUGACAUGAUUCAGGAUGGGUUCACCCCUCUACCGAGAGCCACUCUAUAUGGCUGUGUGCUUGUGGUUCACCAUUUUCUUGGCUGCAAACAAUCUUCAGAAUGUAGUGAUUAGUGACUCAAAAGGAAAGAGUUCUUUGCACUUGUGGCAAAGGGUUCUGAUCUCAAUGCGAUUGUCAAACUCCUACGUGGCUACGUUUUGGAUUGAACUAAUAUCCUAAGUAUAACUUAAGUUGACACCCUCACAUUAUUACAAGACCAAGAUGGAACUUCAUCAAUACACUUGGUAAAUGUUGAUUGAGUUUUUCAUAUAAUGCAAUUGAUCCAUCAAUAGUCUGUUGGGGUGCAAUCAUGUACGAGGGAGGAGUUGACUGUGAGCAUCAAGAGUAAUGAUGGCACGGUGGUCUGACUUGAUUACACCUGGAUCAGAUAGUCCUGCAAUUCUGCAAACCUGUGUUGCAUGUUGCUCGUCGGCUUCAAUUUUGUGCAAUGUUAACAUUAUUGAAGGCGACUUGCGGCAACUGGAAGUAUAAGUUAAAGCAAGAGGCUAACCAAAAUGGAUAGUAGAGGAACCAGAGCUUUGUGUGAAGCCGCAAACAUCAGUAACUAUCAGAGAGAGAGAGAGAAAGAAAGAUCUAUGGAGGGAUACUUACAAUCCUCCAUGUUCCGGGCAGCCGUGAAAGGCGAUACAACCAUGUUGCAGAACUCCGUUAUUGAAGAACAAGGGGAGAAGAAGUACCUCCUAAGGACGCCUGAUCUGGGAAACUGCAUAGUCCACAUUGCAGCUCGACACAGGAACAUGAUAUUCGUCGAGGAAGCUAUUGGUCGGUUCCCUGAUCUUCUCCGACAGAAGAACAAGAAUGGUAACACCCCUCUUCAUGAGGCAGCAGAACUGGGAAGUACGGGCACCAUCAAUGUCCUCCUAACCCAUCUUCGCAGCACCCAGCCUAGUAGUAGUACAAGUACUACUGUUACUGGUGUACCACAUCUAUGGGAGGUGAAUAAUGAAGGAGAUUCACCACUACAUGUCGCACUUAGAAGCUCAAACUUGGAUGCAGCUCAGGAGUUAUUUACAGACGUUGAGGCCCACCCACAGAUCCUGGUCGUCAAGAACAACUCUGGGGAGACUCCUCUACAUCUCUAUGCCCGAUUUUGUGCUGGUGUGGUCUUCCCUCAAAAUUUAGAGCACGACAACAUACAUAUUGUUAAUGUAUCUGAUAGAAAGCCAAAACUUAUUGAUCGAUUGAUCAAAGCAAAUCCUUCAGCUAUAUUCGAACAUGAUACAGAGGGCCUCAACCCUCUAAUGACAGCAGCCCAAUAUGGUCAUGUUCUUCUUGUUCAUCGGUUCCUAAGUGAUCAUACACAGUCAAUGGAAUGUCGUGACCAAAAAGGAAGGAAUUUUUUGCACUACCUGCGGCUAAGACUGGCUGAUCUUAAAUCAAGAGACAAAGAUCAUACGGUAUGGAUUUGCAAGAAGAUCCUUGAAAUACCUGGAGUCAACUCUCUCACAUUUUCACGAGACGAAGAUGGAAAUACACCGUUGCAUUUGGCCAUAAUGGAUCGGGAUUUUGAUCUCGCACAAUUGAUCCUUCAACUAUGUGUUGAGUUUGCACCAAAAAGAAGGUAUCCAGAUGAACUUUCUUUGGCUGCCAGUAAUGAUAAAUUAAGUGAAACAAAGGAGUUGAUUGUGAGAGUCAAGAACAAUAAGGGAAAGACAGUAUUUGACUUGAUUACAGCAGGUCCAGACAUUCCAGAAAACAUUAAGAACGUGAUGAAUGAAGCUAUUAUGGGAACGAGAAUGAAUGAGGAGAUGUACAAGGCAGCUACAGAUGGUGAUUUUUCGCCACAAUAUUUUUAUGGCGACGGAGUUAUUUCUCAAGCCGGGGAUGGGAGCAAUAUUAUUCACAUAGCCCUUCAACAUGAUCAUGCAGCUUUCUUCCUCGAGGAGGCUUUUGAAGAAUUAAAAUUUCCAUUACAUACUUUGAUCUACCAGAAAGACUCAAAUGGUGACACACCCAUGCACAUAGCUGCUAGGCUUCAGUCGCAUUCUGCCUUCUUAUUUUUGAAGAGGUCUUUCUUCUAUUGGCGGGUGAACUGUAGGGGAACUCUUCGUAUACCACCAUGGAAGGUAAAAAAUAUGAGAGGCCACACGCCACUUCAUGAAGCUGCGUGCACUAGUAACUACAUUAUUUUGUCUGUGAUGGUUCGUAUAUUAUGUGGCCCUGAUGGAGUUGAUUCGAUAUCAAUGUCACACAUCAACGAUGAUGGUGAGACUGUUCUUCAUUUGAUUGCAAGAUAUGGAAAAAAACUUGAUUUUGCAGGACGUUGUCUGAAUGAAGGGUGUAUGAGCACAUAUGAAUAUGACUUCGUGAGAGAAAGCAGUACUGCUGUGUACAUGCGUGACAUAGAUGGUUUGACCCCUAUUUUAAGAGCUUCACACUCUGGUCAGAUUUGGCUAAUUAGGUCAAUUAGUAAACAAUAUCCUCAAUCAAUAUACACAAGGGAUUACAAAGGCAGAACAGUGUUGCACAUUCUUUCUACUUCAGCCAUGUAUAAUGAUGUAAAUGAAUUGGAAGGCAUAUCAUAUUUAUGGAAAGAACAGCUUUCCGGCAUGACCAAAUUCCUAUUAUCACCGGAUCAUGAUGGAAACACACUAUUACAUCUUGCCUUGAUGCAUCGAAACUUUGAGGUUGCACAAUAUUUCAUCACAUCUUUUUCAAAGGAUGAAAACUCAAUAUCAAAGGAGUUGAUCGCGAUCAGGAACAAGGCUGGAAUGUCAAUCAGGUGCUUGAUUACACGUACAUCAGACAUUCCUCAAAACCUGAUGAAACUGAUAGAUCAAGUCAGUCCAGCAAAAGUAAUGGAUGACAAGGUUCAAGGAUGAGCUUCAACCAUCCCACCACUGAAAGUGAUCCAGUCAAGUCAUCAGAAUACUUAGCUUGGAUCAUCUCCCAAUAACUAAUUUCCAGAUCUGAUUUGGUGGAAGAAAGCAAGUUUUCACAAACUCGCAAAAGCCGGUCCACACUGGAUCAAGAAACAAGAAAGGCAAUUCAAUUUGGACAACACACUGGAUCAACAAACAAGUACAGAAGUAGUUCGUAUAAUAAAAUUAUGUUUAUUUUCUUUAUUGAUAUAGUAGCUGCCUAGCCAGUCAACAAGGGAAGCUGGUCAGAGCUUUUGGAUAGUAACAGAAAUGGGUGUAUAAUUAAUGUAUAGAGGUGAUCGAUUAGGUAGUUGGUUUAGCAGUUAACAAAUUGGUAAUUGACUUGAAGGUGACCUUGAGCAUUUCCUAUACCGUUGGUGUCAAUUUGAUUAAACAUGUUAA